ACAGAUGAACAUUGCUGCAGAAAUUUGCCCUCUUCUAAACUGCCAGAGACAGCACAGAGCCAUGAGACAGAGCUGGAUCCUGCUGGAGUGCAAACAUUGGGACAGCAUCUCCAUGUUACCUUUCUCCUUCUCUCUGGAGAUCAUGAAAGCAAUUGUUUAAAAAAGAGGGGAGUGUGAUUCAUGUUCAGUCAGCUCCAGCCCGAUUCGUUACAGGAUUCUUCUGCAACAAGCUGGAGAAGAGCCUCUGGUCGGUUAUUUCUGGCAGCACCCAGGCUGGUUACAGCAGUUUUGGGCAUGGAGAGCAGUCACUAACUCUGCAAACAGCUGGUGACCGGCUUCUUAAUGUGGGAGCUGAGAUCUUGGCUACGCUUGCCAGGGGGCUGGCAUCAGCUCCCACACCCUGAACAUUUCCAGCUCUGGGAGGUCCUGUCUCAGCACCCCUCACCGCCGGCCGCUCAGCGAGGCGUCGCUCCAGCAUCCCUCCAGGAUCCAAGGGCACCCGGACACCAGCUGUAUUUUUCUUUUUUAUUUUUAAUUUGUAACGUGCAUUUCAAACCUCUCGCGUGUGAGAGCUCCCUGCAGCAGGCGGAGAGGCUGCAUCUCGCUGCCGGGCUCCGGCGGCGGUUCCCCCCCCGCUCCCCGCGGCGGGCGGUUGUUCCCCGCCCCGGGGGCCGGGGCCGGGCUGGGGCGGCCCCUCGGCCGGGAGCGCUCCGGGGCUCUGCUUCUCCCCGGGGAAAAGCGGGGCUCUUGGGCCCCGGCCACCGCUGUCAGCUGGAGGGGGCGGGAGCUGCAGCCUUGGAGUAG
Falco tinnunculus (common kestrel) is the source of this 804-nucleotide long non-coding RNA. Lineage: Eukaryota; Metazoa; Chordata; Aves; Falconiformes; Falconidae. The record is from Ensembl.